GACCUGAGUCCUCCAAGUCCUCCGGCACCUUGAGCUCCAGAGAGCAGAAUUCAGCCUCUUCCUGUGCCUCCCCAGGGCGGGCAUACGAGCCAGCCCCAUCCCAUUCAUCACCCGUAUGCCUGUGUGCCCAUCCCCCUUGCAGGUUCCCCAAGGACUCUAGCACCUGGACUGUGGACCACCAGCUCCUGUGGGGGGAGGCCCUGCUCAUCACCCCAGUGCUCCAGGCCGGGAAGGCCGAAGUGACUGGCUACUUCCCCUUGGGCACAUGGUACGACCUGCAGACGGUGCCAAUAGAGGCCCUUGGCAGCCUCCCACCCCCACCUGCAGCUCCCCGUGAGCCAGCCAUCCACAGCGAGGGGCAGUGGGUGACGCUGCCGGCCCCCCUGGACACCAUCAACGUCCACCUCCGGGCUGGGUACAUCAUCCCCCUGCAGGGCCCUGGCCUCACAACCACAGAGUCCCGCCAGCAGCCCAUGGCCCUGGCUGUGGCCCUGACCACGGGUGGGGAGGCCCGAGGGGAGCUGUUUUGGGAUGAUGGAGAGAGCCUGGAAGUGCUGGAGCGAGGGGCCCACACACAGGUCAUCUUCCUGGCCAGGAACAACACGAUCGUGAAUGAGCUGGUACGUGUGACCAGUGAGGGAGCUGGCCUGCAGCUGCAGAAGGUGACUGUCCUGGGCGUGGCCACGGCGCCCCAGCAGGUCCUCUCCAACGGCGUCCCUGUCUCCAACUUCACCUACAGCCCUGACACCAAGGUCC
Molecule: small RNA, 756 nt
Filed under: Pan troglodytes (chimpanzee)
Lineage: Eukaryota; Metazoa; Chordata; Mammalia; Primates; Hominidae
Description: retained intron
Source: RNAcentral